Molecule: ribosomal RNA, 441 nt
Filed under: uncultured bacterium
Lineage: Bacteria
Description: partial 16S ribosomal RNA
Rfam family: Bacterial small subunit ribosomal RNA
Source: RNAcentral
CCUACGGGAGGCAGCAGUGGGGGAUAUUGCACAAUGGGGGGAACCCUGAUGCAGCGACGCCGCGUGGGUGAAGGAGUGCUUCGGCAUGUAAAGCCCUAUCGGCAGGGAAGAAGCAAGACGGUACCUGACUACGAAGCUCCGGCUAACUACGGGCCAGCAGCCGCGGUAAUACGCAGGGGGCGAGCGUUAUCCGGAUUCACUGGGUGUAAAGGGAGCGUAGACGGUGAUGCAAGCCAGGGGUGAAAGCCUGGGGCCGAACCCCGGGACUGCCCUUGGAACUGCAGGGCUGGAGUGCGGGAGGGGCAGGCGGAAUUCCAGGUGUAGCGGUGAAAUGCGUAGAUAUCAGGAAGAACACCAGCGGCGAAGGCGGCCUGCUGGACCGCGACUGACGUUGAGGCUCGAAAGCGUGGGGAGCGAACAGGAUUAGAUACCCGUGUAGUC